AGCUUUGUGCAGUGGCGGUAUCGUAGCCAAUGCGGUUUAUCCGAGGCGCAAUUAUUGCUAAUUGAAAACUUUUCCCAAUAUCCCACCGUGAUGACUUGAAAUAUAGUCGAUCCUGGCAAUUUUUGAUGGUCUCUAUGGAGA
Molecule: small nuclear RNA, 141 nt
Organism: Otolemur garnettii (small-eared galago)
Lineage: Eukaryota; Metazoa; Chordata; Mammalia; Primates; Galagidae
Gene: U4
Rfam family: U4 spliceosomal RNA
About the family: U4 small nuclear RNA (U4 snRNA) is a component of the major U2-dependent spliceosome. The structure of U4 snRNA from yeast and human has been reported.
Source: Ensembl